RNAcentral lists this RNase P RNA (355 nucleotides) under Anopheles minimus. RNAcentral's name for it is "nuclear RNase P". It matches the Rfam family "Nuclear RNase P". From Rfam's summary of the family: Ribonuclease P (RNase P) is a ubiquitous endoribonuclease, found in archaea, bacteria and eukarya as well as chloroplasts and mitochondria. Its best characterised activity is the generation of mature 5'-ends of tRNAs by cleaving the 5'-leader elements of precursor-tRNAs. Lineage: Eukaryota; Metazoa; Arthropoda; Insecta; Diptera; Culicidae. The record is from RNAcentral.
CUAGUGGUAAUCUCGCACUUGGAGCACCCGUACGAGUACCUGGUUACUCUGGUUUGUUUGCUUCGGGAAGGUCUGAGAUAAGGUACGCAAAUAUGCCUCAGCAAGGCAGCUCUUUGAAAAGGGCGUUCGCUACCAGCAAUUCAUCAGUUGUGGAUGCCGCGGUGUCCUGCUGUAACCGGGGAGGAUUGUGCUCCGUUUGGAGCAUUUUUUUUCCAGUUUCGGUUUCGGACACUGAUUGAAAACAGCGGAUUGCCAGCCAUUUGAGUCAAAUAUGCGAGCUACUAUCGGGGAGUAUCGGUUGCCUGCAAUUGGUACUUUCUGGGGUAGAACUCAAUUCAGACUAAUCUAUCACUAG